UGGAAAAAUUCAAGAAAAAAGUGUGAAAAUUCAAGGAAACAAGUGAAAAAAAGGUGGUGAGUCCUCUGAUAAAGGCAAGGAAAUUGCAUCCGAGGACCAGUAGUCAGAGUACUUUGAAAAUUCGCACUCUAGACAUUGCUCAGAAUAGACUGUAGAUAGUUGAUCGCAUAGAGAACUACCAUUGGAAUUGCAUUUUCCAAACUGUAGGUUCACAGUCCUCUUUACUUUUGAAUAUUCGAGGGUCCCACUUGUUACUGUAAAUUAAAUUUCAUACUUUAGUUAUCUGUACUACUGUAUAUAGGAAUUUAUUUUAUUUUUAUGUUGUA
Molecule: long non-coding RNA, 326 nt
Organism: Theobroma cacao (cacao)
Lineage: Eukaryota; Viridiplantae; Streptophyta; Magnoliopsida; Malvales; Malvaceae
Source: RefSeq, a predicted model, not a curated record